Non-coding RNA from Trichonephila inaurata madagascariensis, 73 nucleotides. NCBI's taxonomy places the organism in Eukaryota, Metazoa, Arthropoda, Arachnida, Araneae, Nephilidae. The record is from the annotation of a GenBank genome assembly.
AUCCCUGUAGCACAAUGGAUAGCGUGUUGGACGUAGAAUCCAAAGGUCAUGGGUUCAAAUCCCACCUGGGAUG